RNAcentral lists this ribosomal RNA (823 nucleotides) under uncultured fungus. RNAcentral's name for it is "SSU rRNA". It matches the Rfam family "Eukaryotic small subunit ribosomal RNA", at positions 564 to 1420 of the family's 1831-position model. The record is from RNAcentral. Lineage: Eukaryota; Fungi.
GUGCCAGCAGCCGCGGUAAUUCCAGCUCCAAUAGCGUAUAUUAAAGUUGUUGUGGUUAAAAAGCUCGUAGUUGAACCUUGGGCCUGGCUGGCCGGUCCGCCUCACCGCGUGCACUGGUCCGGCCGGGCCUUUCCCUCUGUGGAACCCCAUACCCUUCACUGGGCGUGGCGGGGAAACAGGACAUUUACUUUGAAAAAAUUAGAGUGCUCCAGGCAGGCCUAUGCUCGAAUACAUUAGCAUGGAAUAAUAAAAUAGGACGCGCGGUUCUAUUUUGUUGGUUUAUAGGACCGCCGUAAUGAUUAAUAGGGACAGUCGGGGGCAUCAGUAUUCAACUGUCAGAGGUGAAAUUCUUGGAUCAGUUGAAGACUAACUACUGCGAAAGCAUUUGCCAAGGAUGUUUUCAUUAAUCAGGAACGAAAGUUAGGGGAUCGAAGACGAUCAGAUACCGUCGUAGUCUUAACCAUAAACUAUGCCGACUAGGGAUCGGACGGUGUUAUUCAUGACCCGUUCGGCACCUUACGAGAAAUCAAAGUGCUUGGGCUCCAGGGGGAGUAUGGUCGCAAGGCUGAAACUUAAAGAAAUUGACGGAAGGGCACCACCAGGGGUGGAGCCUGCGGCUUAAUUUGACUCAACACGGGGAAACUCACCAGGUCCAGACACAAUAAGGAUUGACAGAUUGAGAGCUCUUUCUUGAUUUUGUGGGUGGUGAUGCAUGGCCGUCUUAGUGUGGGUGACUUGUCUGCUUAAUUGCGAUAACGAACGAGACCUUAACCUGCUAAAUAGCCCGCAUUGCUCCGGCAGUGCGCUGGCUUCUUAGAGGGAC